CGGGACACGAAGACAGGUGUUGCAUGGUUGUCGUCAGCUCGUGUCGUGAGAUGUUGGGUUAAGUCCCGCAACGAGCGCAACCCUCAUAUACAGUUGCCAAUAUUUAGUUAGGAACCCUGUAUAGACUGCCGUGGUUAACACGGAGGAAGGUGGGGAUGACGUCAAAUCAUCACGGCCCUUACGUCCUGGGCUACACACGUGCUACAAUGGCUAUUACAAAGAGUAGCGAUACAGUAAUGUGGAGCGAAUCUCAAAAAGAUAGUCUCAGUUCGGAUUGUGGGCUGCAACUCGCCCACAUGAAGUCGGAGUUGCUAGUAAUCCCGAAUCAGCAUGUCGGGGUGAAUGCGUUCCCGGGUCUUGUACACACCGCCCGUCACGCCAUGGGAGUUGGGAGUGCCCAAAGUCACUGACUUAACCGCAAGGGGAGAGGUGCCUAAGGUAAUACCAAUGACUGGGGUGAAGUCGUAACAAGGUAGCCGUAUCGGAAGGUGCGGUUGGAUCAC
Molecule: ribosomal RNA, 503 nt
Filed under: uncultured bacterium
Lineage: Bacteria
Description: bacterial SSU rRNA
Rfam family: Bacterial small subunit ribosomal RNA
Source: RNAcentral